UUCCAGCUCCAAUAGCGUAUAUUAAAGUUGCUGCAGUUAAAAAAGCUCGUAGUUGAACCUUGGGCCUGGCUGGCCGGUCCGCCUCACCGCGUGCACUGGUCCGGCCGGGCCUUUCCUUCUGGGGAGCCGCAUGCCCUUCACUGGGUGUGUCGGGGGAACCAGGACUUUUUACUUGAAAAGAUUAGAGUGUUCAAAGCAGGCCUAUGCUCGAAUGCAUUAGCAUGGAAUAAUAGAAUAGGACGUGUAGUUCUAUUUUGUUGGGUUUCUAGGACCGCCGUAAUGAUUAAUAGGGAUAGCCGGGGGGCAUCAGUAUUCAAUUGUCAGAGGUGAAAUUCUUGGAUUUAUUGAGGACUAACUACUGCGAAAGCAUUUGCCAAGGAU
This 381-nucleotide ribosomal RNA is filed under the name uncultured fungus. RNAcentral's name for it is "SSU rRNA". It matches the Rfam family "Eukaryotic small subunit ribosomal RNA", at positions 583 to 965 of the family's 1831-position model. The record is from RNAcentral. Lineage: Eukaryota; Fungi.